Molecule: long non-coding RNA, 718 nt
Organism: Oncorhynchus keta (chum salmon)
Lineage: Eukaryota; Metazoa; Chordata; Actinopteri; Salmoniformes; Salmonidae
Exons: 3
Source: RefSeq, a predicted model, not a curated record
CUUUGAAUUAUUUAACGCUGAUAACAUUCUAAAGGCACAGAUGAGGUAUUAAAAGAGUGAAGUAGGCACAGAUGAGGUAUUAAAAGAGUGAAGUAGGCACAGAUGAGGUAUUAAAAGAGUGAAGUAGGCACAGAUGAGGUAUUAAAAGAGUGAAGUAGGCACAGAUGAGGUAUUAAAAGAGUGAAGUAGGCACAGAUGAGGUAUUAAAAGAGUGAAGUAGGCACAGAUGAGGUAUUAAAAGAGUGAAGUAGGCACAGAUGAGGUAUUAAAAGAGUGAAGUAGGCACAGAUGAGGUAUUAAAAGAGUGAAGUAGGCACAGAUGAGGUAUUAAAAGAGUGAAGUAGGCACAGAUGAGGUAUUAAAAGAGUGAAGUAGGCACAGAUGAGGUAUUAAAAGAGUGAAGUAGGCACAGAUGAGGUAUUAAAAGAGUGAAGUAGGCACAGAUGAGGUAUUAAAAGAGUGAAGUAGGCACAGAUGAGGUAUUAAAAGAGUGAAGUAGGCACAGAUGAGGUAUUAAAAGAGUGAAGUAGGCACAGAUGAGGUAUUAAAAGAGUGAAGUAGGCACAGAUGAGGUAUUAAAAGAGUGAAGUAGGCACAGAUGAGGUAUUAAAAGAGUGAAGUAGGCACAGAUGAGGUAUUAAAAGAGUGAAGUAGGCACAGCUACAGGUCUUUUUAAACGCAAAAUGUAUGCCUGGCCUGUCACUUUACUUUAUCAUUG